Gallus gallus (chicken) is the source of this 2416-nucleotide long non-coding RNA. Lineage: Eukaryota; Metazoa; Chordata; Aves; Galliformes; Phasianidae. The record is from Ensembl.
UUCUGUCAACUCACCUGACAGGUUUCUGGCCCUGAUCAUGCACUGACACAUUUUCUCAGUGUUGUUCGUAAGGCUUUUGUACCGUAGCAGUUAAACCUAUAGCAACAUUUAAUACCUUAACGAUAACCACUGAUACGUUUUGAAGGCAUCGCAGCUCUCCAUUGACUUACUUGAGCGUUAACUUCGUGUUGCAAGAAGUUGAACAAGCAAAACAGUUCACACACCGUGCCUUAUUCAGAGCAGACGCAACUAGAGCAAGGAAAAAAAAAAAAAGGGUAAAUCAUUAGCAUUACCAAAAACAUUAAGAGUUAAUCUCAAAUGUUUGUGAGAUGGGAAGAAUAAUCAUUUGAAUCUUGUAGCAAGCAUUAAGGCCUGCAAUAAUAACGUGGCAGGGCCUGGAAGGCACAGCGGAUAGUUGCACAGUGGGACUGUGAAGCACCGAUAAAGCUGUCUCUGAGGGCACGCAACUCUGUUUUGCAGAGAAAGCGUUUACUCCUUGUUCUGUAUACCUUCAGUAUGUUUCACUUUAUGUUUCAGCAUACCUUCGCGCCUUUCCCUGCCAAACGUUGCUUCUCUUUUCAACCUCAGAUAGAGGAUUCAGGACAAUGUUCUUCUCCUCCAUUUUGUCAGCAGCAGACAGAACCCGAACUUCGUAAAGCCAAACUUCUUUUCCCACACUAUGGGGCAAGCGCACCCACAGAUGCUUACAUCUAUUCCACUGCUUGCCAAAAUAAUACGAGCCGAAGGAAAGUCUGCUUACAAGAGAUCUCUAUAAUGCAGGUUCUUAAAAAACUGCUGCCACAAGCAUUUGCUUCACCAGAUAGGAAGGAAAAACAAAACUGGAUACUCAUCGUUUGUGAUAGCAGUGUCAAAUUUGUGUGCAAAAAUGAAAGGAGAAAUGUAGAAUAAUUGAAGAUGCACAAUGAAAAUGAUGACUACUUCAUUAUCUGUUCAGUUCAGCGACUGAAAUGUGCAAUACUGAGAGUCAGAUCAUAUGGCGCAACAUACAGAGAUGCGGUGAUCAGACAAGGCUGCAUUUUCUCAUUCACUCCAAGCCCCAGUUCUCUUCAUUCAGGGUCACAGUGAAGAGGACACCGCUCCUGGAUUGUUGUUCUGCAGAGAGAAUGCCUCUUUGUGGUUUAAUGGGAGCAGUCGGGGAUGCAACAAAGGACUUUCCUCCCACUUUUAGAGAGAACUUUCAUCAAAACGUAACCUUAAGAAAACAGCCAGAGAACUGCCUACCAUCUCCUUCCUUCAAUCACACGAUUGCAGUGGAAACAUACAUCACCAAACAGCCGAAGAGAAAGGAGAAAGAAAGAAUUUUUAAGGGAUGCCAGCAAUACCUCAAUCACCUGCCCUUCAUCGCUGAGAAAUUUAGAAUCCACCUGCAAUUAGCAGAUGCCGUACAACUCCCAUAUGUAAUCCUCCUUUAUUAAUCCAAGCAAAGAUGUGUACGUGACACCUAGCAUUUGGCUCCCAAAGAAGAAAGGUCUAUCCAUUCUGGUGCUGGACUGCACAACCACGGGAGUCUGCAGGGAAAUGGGACUGCACUGCUGAUGGUCUCCCAGUGUCUUGGAGAAGUGCGAGUGAUGAUAGCAUUCACUCCAUUACUGCCCCUGAUUCUCGCGUCCUAGUUGCCGCUUCCCUGGGCAGCCUGUUCCAGUGCCUGACCACUCCCUCUGAGAAGAAUUAUUUCCUAACAUCCAACCUGAACCUCCCCUGGCACAACUUGAGGCCAUUCCCUCUAGUCCUAUAGAAGAGGAAUUGUCUUGGGACGCACAUAGGUAGAUUGAUCCAAAAUUAAUGCCUCCUACUUAUUAUCAUGGGAGCUACAACUGCUACAAAGGGCACAAUAAUGCUGUUUAAGAAAGCACAUUCUCCGCUGCAAAAUGCUUUUUCAGUGUAGUCAUCACCACUAGCUGUGCAUUUUCUCCAGCAAUGAACAAGAACCUGAGUGCUGCGCUCAUAACAGCCUGCACCAGCGGAGGUGUCCCAGUGUCACUGUCACCACUGCUGAAAUGCACCGUGCACCAUCUCACUGAGCUCACAACCACUGCUUGGACUCCAUAAACGUUCAGCAAAGAUUGAUGAAGGUCAGUGGGUGUCGUCAUUUUCACCUGGAGGAAUUCAGUGACAGCUUGAUGGUUGGCUCGAUGUGCACUUCCAUGUCAGACACCGUUGUGUCACGCUGCCUGACUGCUGCCAGCUGUUGCACGGCAACAACGUGUAAUGGGAUAUGGGUGAGAAGGUUCAACCUCUACUGCCAUGCCACCAACACCCGCCUCUGGUGUUUUGGGCCAACAUAUAAAAUAGGGGGCAUUGCUUCUGGAGCAGCCCUCAUAAGAUGUAUAAUACAGGUAAUGUAUAGAAGUAACCAAGCUUUUUUUAUUUUUUAACACUGUUUAUUAAAGCAUAC